UAAUACCGGAUAUGACCUUCCAUCGCAUGGUGGUUGGUGGAAAGCUUUUGCGGUUUUGGAUGGACUCGCGGCCUAUCAGCUUGUUGGUGGGGUAAUGGCCUACCAAGGCGACGACGGGUAGCCGGCCUGAGAGGGUGACCGGCCACACUGGGACUGAGACACGGCCCAGACUCCUACGGGAGGCAGCAGUGGGGAAUAUUGCACAAUGGGCGCAAGCCUGAUGCAGCGACGCCGCGUGAGGGAUGACGGCCUUCGGGUUGUAAACCUCUUUCAGUAGGGAAGAAGCGUAAGUGACGGUACCUGCAGAAGAAGCGCCGGCUAACUACGUGCCAGCAGCCGCGGUAAUACGUAGGGCGCAAGCGUUAUCCGGAAUUAUUGGGCGUAAAGAGCUCGUAGGCGGUUUGUCGCGUCUGCCGUGAAAGUCCGGGGCUCAACUCCGGAUCUGCGGUGGGUACGGGCAGACUAGAGUGAUGUAGGGGAGACUGGAAUUCCUGGUGUAGCGGUGAAAUGCGCAGAUAUCAGGAGGAACACCGAUGGCGAAGGCAGGUCUCUGGGCAUUAACUGACGCUGAGGAGCGAAAGCAUGGGGAGCGAACAGGAUUAGAUACCCUGGUAGUCCAUGCCGUAAACGUUGGGCACUAGGUGUGGGGGACAUUCCACGUUUUCCGCGCCGUAGCUAACGCAUUAAGUGCCCCGCCUGGGGAGUACGGCCGCAAGGCUAAAACUCAAAGGAAUUGACGGGGGCCCGCACAAGCGGCGGAGCAUGCGGAUUAAUUCGAUGCAACGCGAAGAACCUUACCAAGGCUUGACAUGAACCGGAAACGCCUGGAAACAGGUGCCCCACUUGUGGUCGGUUUACAGGUGGUGCAUGGUUGUCGUCAGCUCGUGUCGUGAGAUGUUGGGUUAAGUCCCGCAACGAGCGCAACCCUCGUUCUAUGUUGCCAGCACGUGAUGGUGGGGACUCAUAGGAGACUGCCGGGGUCAACUCGGAGGAAGGUGGGGACGACGUCAAAUCAUCAUGCCCCUUAUGUCUUGGGCUUCACGCAUGCUACAAUGGCCGGUACAAAGGGUUGCGAUACUGUGAGGUGGAGCUAAUCCCAAAAAGCC
Molecule: ribosomal RNA, 1106 nt
Filed under: Pseudarthrobacter equi
Lineage: Bacteria; Bacillati; Actinomycetota; Actinomycetes; Micrococcales; Micrococcaceae
Description: bacterial SSU rRNA
Rfam family: Bacterial small subunit ribosomal RNA
Source: RNAcentral